This 234-nucleotide long non-coding RNA is filed under the name Lathyrus oleraceus (garden pea). RNAcentral's name for it is "Pisum sativum (pea) long non-coding RNA (PSAT_LNC006115)". Lineage: Eukaryota; Viridiplantae; Streptophyta; Magnoliopsida; Fabales; Fabaceae. The record is from RNAcentral.
GUCUUCUCUCUGUUUCCUCUCUUCGUCUAGUUUCCUUCUUCUUCGUGUUUUGCUAUUGAGCUUUCGUAGUGUUCUUUCAAUUUCGGGAUCAAAUUGAAAUUGCUCCUCGGUAGCCUUUCCUCACAUGCACUAGAAUCUACAAAACUAACAAACCAAGUGAAACACAAGAGUGAUAGUAGUAAAAUAAAAAAAAACUUAAAAUAAUGAAUUAUUGCAAUGCUUGCAAUAUCGAAC